GUGGGGAAUUUUGGACAAUGGGCGAAAGCCUGAUCCAGCAAUGCCGCGUGCAGGAUGAAGGCCCUCGGGUUGUAAACUGCUUUUGUACGGAACGAAAAGCCUGGGGCUAAUAUCCCCGGGUCAUGACGGUACCGUAAGAAUAAGCACCGGCUAACUACGUGCCAGCAGCCGCGGUAAUACGUAGGGUGCAAGCGUUAAUCGGAAUUACUGGGCGUAAAGCGUGCGCAGGCGGUUUUGUAAGACAGUGGUGAAAUCCCCGGGCUCAACCUGGGAACUGCCAUUGUGACUGCAAGGCUAGAGUGCGGCAGAGGGGGAUGGAAUUCCGCGUGUAGCAGUGAAAUGCGUAGAUAUGCGGAGGAACACCGAUGGCGAAGGCAAUCCCCUGGGCCUGCACUGACGCUCAUGCACGAAAGCGUGGGGAGCAAACAGGAUUAGAUACCCCGGUAGUCC
RNAcentral lists this ribosomal RNA (450 nucleotides) under uncultured bacterium. RNAcentral's name for it is "partial 16S ribosomal RNA". It matches the Rfam family "Bacterial small subunit ribosomal RNA", at positions 354 to 796 of the family's 1533-position model. The record is from RNAcentral.